UACGUAGGGGGCAAGCGUUGUCCGGAAUCAUUGGGCGUAAAGCGCGCGUAGGCGGCCCGGUAAGUCCGCUGUGAAAGUCAAAGGCUCAACCUUUGAAUGUCAGCGGAUACUGCCGGGCUAGAGUCCGGAAGAGGCGAGUGGAACUCCUGGUGUAGCGGUGGAAUGCGCAGAUAUCAGGAGGAACACCAAUGGCGAAGGCAGCUCGCUGGGACGGUACUGACGCUGAGGCGCGAAAGCGUGGGGAGCAAACAGG
This 253-nucleotide ribosomal RNA is filed under the name uncultured bacterium. RNAcentral describes it as "partial 16S ribosomal RNA". It matches the Rfam family "Bacterial small subunit ribosomal RNA", at positions 524 to 776 of the family's 1533-position model. The record is from RNAcentral.